This 442-nucleotide ribosomal RNA is filed under the name uncultured Brevundimonas sp. RNAcentral describes it as "bacterial SSU rRNA". It matches the Rfam family "Bacterial small subunit ribosomal RNA", at positions 35 to 507 of the family's 1533-position model. Lineage: Bacteria; Pseudomonadati; Pseudomonadota; Alphaproteobacteria; Caulobacterales; Caulobacteraceae. The record is from RNAcentral.
AGCGAGCUGGCGGCAGGCUACACGAUGCAAGUCGAACGGAACCCGUUCGGGGUUAGUGGCGGACGGGUCGGAGGUAACCACGUAGGGAACGGUGCCUUUUAGGUUCGGAAUAGCGUCCUGGAAACGGGUGGUAAUAGCCGAAUGUGCCCUUUGGGGGAAAGAUUUAUCGCCAUUAGAGCGGCCCGCGUCUGAUUAGCUAGUUGGUGAGGUAAGGACUCACCAAGGCGACGAUCAGUAGCUGGUCUGAGAGGAUGACCAGCCACAUUGGGACUGAGACACGGCCCAAACUCCUACGGGAGGCAGCAGUGGGGGAAUCUUGCGCAAUGGGCGAAAGCCUGACGCAGCCAUGCCGCGUGAAUGAUGAAGGUCUUAGGAUUGUAAAAUUCUUUCACCGGGGACGAUAAUGACGGUACCCGGAGAAGAAGCCCCGGCUAACUUCGUG